This 253-nucleotide ribosomal RNA is filed under the name uncultured bacterium. RNAcentral describes it as "partial 16S ribosomal RNA". It matches the Rfam family "Bacterial small subunit ribosomal RNA", at positions 524 to 776 of the family's 1533-position model. The record is from RNAcentral.
UACGGAGGGUGCAAGCGUUAUCCGGAUUUAUUGGGUUUAAAGGGUCCGUAGGCGGACUGAUAAGUCAGUGGUGAAAUCCGACAGCUUAACUGUCGAACUGCCAUUGAUACUGUCAGUCUUGAGUAAGGUUGAAGUGGCUGGAAUAAGUAGUGUAGCGGUGAAAUGCAUAGAUAUUACUUAGAACACCAAUUGCGAAGGCAGGUCACUAAGUCUUAACUGACGCUGAUGGACGAAAGCGUGGGGAGCGAACAGG